UGCUUUCAGCUUAUUUUGCGCAGCUUAGGUGGGAGGCUACGAACCUUUUCUUCCGGGAAGAGGGGAGCCAUCAGUGAGAUACCACUCUUGGUAAGCUAGAAAGCUCAGUCUUAACCGUUAUCCGGUAAGACGACAGUUUCAGGCGGGCAGUUUGACUGGGGCAGUCACCUCCCAAAAGGUAAUGGAGGUGCACAAAGGUUCCCUCAGGUUGGACGGAAAUCAACCAUAGAGUGUAAAAGCAUAAGGGAGCUUGACUGCGAGACUGACAUGUCAAGCAGAGACGAAAGUCGGUUUUAGUGAUCCGACGGUGCUGCGUGGAAAGGCCGUCGCUCAACGGAUAAAAGUUACUCUAGGGAUAACAGG
This 363-nucleotide ribosomal RNA is filed under the name uncultured eukaryote. RNAcentral's name for it is "LSU rRNA". It matches the Rfam family "Bacterial large subunit ribosomal RNA", at positions 2118 to 2481 of the family's 2925-position model. The record is from RNAcentral.